RNAcentral lists this ribosomal RNA (253 nucleotides) under uncultured bacterium. RNAcentral's name for it is "partial 16S ribosomal RNA". It matches the Rfam family "Bacterial small subunit ribosomal RNA", at positions 524 to 776 of the family's 1533-position model. The record is from RNAcentral.
UACAGAGGUCUCAAGCGUUGUUCGGAUUCAUUGGGCGUAAAGGGUGCGUAGGCGGCGCGGUAAGUCGGGUGUGAAAUCUCGGAGCUUAACUCCGAGACUGCAUUCGAUACUGCCGUGCUUGAGGACUGGAGAGGAGACUGGAAUUUACGGUGUAGCGGUGAAAUGCGUAGAUAUCGUAAGGAAGACCAGUGGCGAAGGCGGGUCUCUGGACAGUUCCUGACGCUGAGGCACGAAGGUCAGGGGAGCAAACGGG